Molecule: long non-coding RNA, 747 nt
Filed under: Triticum aestivum (bread wheat)
Lineage: Eukaryota; Viridiplantae; Streptophyta; Magnoliopsida; Poales; Poaceae
Description: long non-coding RNA (TAES_LNC012465)
Source: RNAcentral
AACGAAACCCAUAGUUCCACUCUUGGGAGCUUAUAGUAUCUUUAGAGAUGAUUGUGUAUAGUCAAUAGUCCAAAUUAGAGGUAUCGUGGCAGAGACGCCUGAAUUCAGUACUUAAUAUAAACUUAUGCUGAGCCAUUAGAACGACAUAGUGUAACACAUAUUUACAAAGCCUGGGAACAUAUUUACAUAGAGUAGAACAUUGAAAUACUUGCUAGAAAGAGUAGAAUUAGGACAUCGAGAUAAGUAGAUAGCACUAAUGGAGCACCCUUCCAACAAAACGGAGAGGAGGCUCAUCAUCAAACAUACGAUGGUACCAAUAUGGUUUAGGCACCGGCUACCUGUCGCCCAAAUUUUUCAGUGAAAAUUCACGUUAAGUAAAUAGGAAAUGAAUUUGCAGUGGGAAACAGCAAAAAUACCUGUUUUUCUUAACUGCAGCAUCACCCAUUAUGUCUAUGGGAUGGUUCAAUCCUCUUCAUCAUGCAAAGAACAAGCUAUUGUAAGCAUACCGAAUGAAUAUAUAGCCACACAAUAAGAACCGAGACAAUUUACAUAAAAAGAAAGUAGAACUCUUCUAAAAAAAUGCAGAACUGAGACAACACUUUAGGCAAAUUAAAGCUCGUACCUUUGAGAUGGGAGAUCAAUCCUGCUUAAAGCUCGUACAAUGAAUCUCCUUGGCAGGUAAGGAGUUCUGUUAGUUCUAUCAUAAAAGUUCAUGCCAGCAAAAGAUCCGUUAACGAAGUUAACAAG